GCCUGUCGCCUUGUGAUUGAACGACUUGAGAAGUUAGUCCCAUACCCUUCUGCCGUCCUCCAAGGUAACACACACACACACACACACACACACACACACACACACACACACCUGACCUGGCCCCAUACCAUAAAUAUCUGGCCUGGAGUGACUUUAGUGCUCUUGAUCUAUCGAUCUAUUUAUCUGCCGUGAAUUGAGGAGCUUCAUUUAGAGAAAAGUAGUGCUUUGCAGUUAUCUAGUGGUAUCUUGCUGUCAAGCAGCUGUGUAGGACAGGAUUGAGGUGCUUCAUUUAGAUUGCUGCGAUCCUGUGGCAGCUUGGUGCCAAAGAACUAACUACAUGGGAGUGAAUUGAAGAGUUUCAGUUACACAAAAAUAUUGCUGUGCUGCCAUCUUGUGGCAACCACAGGCCAUUAUAUGGCCUUUGCAGGGGGGUGUCAAUUACAGAUUUUUGCAACAGGGCUCGGGCCCGAUCCCCUGCGAAAAGCUGUGUGUUGUAAUUCUUUAUUUUUGUCUACUAUCAGAGGGUAGAUGCAAUAAUCAAAUCAACCCUUUUGUGGUUUCCACAAAACAGAAUUAUUUCGAAGAAAAAAAAAAUCACUUCUUUGGUGUGAAGUGGGGUCAAACUCAACAAAGGAAGCAUGAAACUAAAGUUCUUGCCAUGUCCAUUCUCAACAAUAGUUAAUGUACUUGAUUCCCAAUGCACAAUGUGUGUGUCUUGAGGUCUCCCUCCGCAGGUUUCGUCCUGAUGGACCACUGCUGGUGCGUUGUGGAGAUGAAAGGAAUUCUGGGAAGUCAUCUCACGCUACAGAGUCUGGAAAGGGGCGCUGUGGUGCCAUGAGGAGAAAGCAUUGACGCUGCAGCACAGUCGACGCUUCCCUGACAGGGCGGACGACAACAUGGAGUACAGAUGACGUCUAGGAGGCAUCCUGCUACAUUGGCGUACCAGAGGAAGAAAGCAGGAUGUGACAGCGUGAAUCUCCAGCAAAGAGGACGUUGGCCCCUGGCACACUUGGAGCAUGAAGGCAAAUCUAAACCUAGACUGGCACGCCUUCAGUACAGCGCCACGUCAUGCUGCAACAUGCCAAGUCUACCGCAAGAGUUGCCACGUAAUAAAGAGCAUGAAGAAUAGGCAGAGAAGGUCCCCUACUGAACUGUAGCCGAGAGAAUUAUACGCCUCUCCGUAUCACCGCAAGGCUUUCAGGCGGCCCACUAUAAGGCCGUCAUGUCAUCUGUACCAGCCAAUCAGCGACGAAAG
Molecule: long non-coding RNA, 1255 nt
Organism: Hippocampus comes (tiger tail seahorse)
Lineage: Eukaryota; Metazoa; Chordata; Actinopteri; Syngnathiformes; Syngnathidae
Exons: 5
Source: RefSeq, a predicted model, not a curated record